This 253-nucleotide ribosomal RNA is filed under the name uncultured bacterium. RNAcentral describes it as "partial 16S ribosomal RNA". It matches the Rfam family "Bacterial small subunit ribosomal RNA", at positions 524 to 776 of the family's 1533-position model. The record is from RNAcentral.
UACGAAGGGGGCUAGCGUUGCUCGGAAUCACUGGGCGUAAAGGGUGCGUAGGUGGGUCUUUAAGUCAGGGGUGAAAUCCUGGAGCUCAACUCCAGAACUGCCUUUGAUACUGAGGAUCUUGAGUCCGGGAGAGGUGAGUGGAACUGCGAGUGUAGAGGUGAAAUUCGUAGAUAUUCGCAAGAACACCAGUGGCGAAGGCGGCUCACUGGCCCGGUACUGACGCUGAGGUGCGAAAGCGUGGGGAGCAAACAGG